This 2004-nucleotide small RNA is filed under the name Rattus norvegicus (Norway rat). RNAcentral describes it as "uncharacterized LOC102546310". The record is from RNAcentral. Lineage: Eukaryota; Metazoa; Chordata; Mammalia; Rodentia; Muridae.
GAAGAACCCCUGUCUGUCUUUUUCUUCCACUUUGAGAAUGAUGGUUCUGCUGCCUGUGAAGCCCAUGGAGUGCUCACUUCUCAAAGCUUGGUCACUUAGGCAUUUUGCAGUAGACUGCAGUCCUUGAAUAUUUUAUCAUUCUAAGUAUGAAGAUAGAAAUUCAUGUCUUUUUUGGGAAACUUCAAACAACUUCAUUUUUACAACCAAGGCCAGCAAUUCUACAUGGGUCCCAUCUUAGUCAUUUUAAACCUUCCUAAAGGACAGAAGUUUGACACAGAGGGAGCUGAGACCUCCACUUGGGUGUCCAGGAGCCAUCAUGCUCAAGACCCUCUUGACUGGCUUAAUUUCCAAUUUUGUGGCUCUGUAGCAGACUUGCUUAGAUGAGCACUAGAUACUAGUUGUGGCAUGAUGGUGUUAAAAUCUUAGAAUAAAUGGUCAGCCUAUAUCCAUCCAUCCAUGUCUCCAGCUCUACAGGUUAAAAUAUCUACUGUCUGUUUGGUUUCCCUUCUCCAGAAAUAGAUGUCAGGCUUUGAACUUAAACUUCAGUCAUGAGUAGGCUGAAACACGAAAAAUUUCUCCCUGCCCUUUUCACUCACAUUCAUGUUCUAUUGCUUGUAAUUCCAGCAGCUGGCCAUUCCCGACAUCAAAGGGAGGUCAAGUAGCAUGUUAUUCAGCAAGGUGAACGGACUUGAUAAUUACUGAGUAAGAAGAACGGAGGAAGGAAAAUGCAGAGGGAGGCACCUCCCUCCAGCAGGGCAGUGGAACUCUCUCAGUAGUUCCAUGGCUGAUCGUCUCUGGAAAAUGUUGCCGGCAUGACACACGUCGUCAUCACCAUACAUUUUUGUGUUUCCCACUUUGGAAAACAACCAUGUCUGGCAUAUAAUUUCUCCCUUUUAUUAUGACCUGUGAGAAAGUAGCCAAGACUGGCUAGGUUUAAUUAUCCCCAUAAGGUUAUUUUGGAUGUCAGUGUCUACAAUUCAUUCACAAAUGGGCAGAGGGAAGAAGCAUGUUAGCCCAACAGAGCCAAGCUUGGGUGGAGUGGUGAAGCAUUCUGACUCCCUUCCUCCAUGGCCACAGUGGUGAGAGAGUAUGUCCUGUGUGUUUGCUUUAUGAGCUCAUGGCUUAAGUUUAGAAGGACCGUCAGCUGACUAGAUAUUUGGGUCUUUAAAUAAUCUUUAAAAAAUGUGACCCCAUGCAGUGCUCAUGUUCCAGUCAGAGUUAAUAAGACAGCAGUGCUAUAAUUGUCUUGAACUCACCAUUUGUUCUUGUUGUUUUCCUUGUGGUACUGUCUUGCCCUUGAGUCGGAAUGCUCAUGUAUUCUGAUUCUAUGACCUCAUCUGAGUGUGGCACUUGGACAAGUGGAAUUUGUCCUUUUUAUAUUUUGCCGUGUUUUUAUUUGACACACCCUGGACAGUGGAUGUGUUCUGAGUGUCCUACAUUUAGGAAACGUGGGAUCAUUCUGCUAGCCGACUGGAAACAUACCAGGGCUGGAACAAAGUCAAGCAGCCUCAAGUGUACACUGCACGCCAGACUUGAACACAGCUAGACACAGCCGGAGUUGCUGAAAAGUCAAUGCUACCCACUUCUAACUUGUUCUGUGGGUCAUCGUCCUGGUACCACGAACCAUAAAUGCAACAGUGCCAACCGCUCAGAAGAGGAGAUAAAAAUUGCUGGCGGACGUGACUAUUCUGGUGAUGAUUCCAAUGGAAGACACACUAAGUGACCAACAUUGAGGACCAAGUAGGUAGGUAGGAUGUGAGGUCAGAAUUUGGUUCCUGUUGGAGCAGAUUUCAGAGAUCUGUGGGGAAAGCAGACAAGCAUGCAUGAGAUCUCUGUCAAAAGCAUCCAGUGCAGUGUCUCCUAGUAGCCACCCUUGAAAGGAAAGGUCAGUGUGAACAUGUUCAAUCUCAGAGACCCCUGUAGUAGAAAAGAGGAGGGAGCCAAAACCUCUUCUGCCUUCUGUGUGUCUAAACAAACAAAUAAAAAUAAAAUACUUUUUAAAAC